Eubalaena glacialis (North Atlantic right whale) is the source of this 336-nucleotide long non-coding RNA. RefSeq lists it as uncharacterized. The record is from RefSeq and is a predicted model, not a curated record. The transcript is spliced from 5 exons. Lineage: Eukaryota; Metazoa; Chordata; Mammalia; Artiodactyla; Balaenidae.
ACACUACGCGUUUUCGGAGUGGAGGUGCUACGCGGUGUCCAGGAAGCUUCCUCCUGCAUUAGGAGGUCUAUACAUGCUGUUAUCUUUGCUGGACUUUCCUCCCAUCUCUUCAUCUAGAAGAUGAUGACGUUCUCCAAGCAUUUCAACCAGUGGUCUGGAACCCAGCCUGCACUAUCUCCAAGCUGGAACUCACAUCACAGCUGCCCUAUUUACUUACCUACCGGCUGCAUUCCUUAGAACCAGUUUUUUUCCUGUUCAAAUGGAAACCAGGCAGAAUUGGGAAAAUAUUUCUUCAGCCAGCUCCUCAGCACUGCUGUCUGAGGGAGACCAUCUGAC